AAGGUUCUAGUAAAAUAAUUACAUAGCUCUGUCAGUGCUAAAUUACAGGUCAUAGACCUGUGAACCUUA
This 69-nucleotide transfer RNA is filed under the name Podarcis siculus (Italian wall lizard). RNAcentral describes it as "tRNA-Asp". The record is from RNAcentral. Lineage: Eukaryota; Metazoa; Chordata; Lepidosauria; Squamata; Lacertidae.